UGUAAAAUAAGUUAAAUAAAACUGUUGGGCUCAUGACUCAAAUAUAGGGACGAGAUUUUCCUUUUUACUU
Molecule: transfer RNA, 70 nt
Filed under: Ophiosteira sp. Op725.7
Lineage: Eukaryota; Metazoa; Echinodermata; Ophiuroidea; Amphilepidida; Ophiuridae
Description: tRNA-Met
Source: RNAcentral